This is a long non-coding RNA of Piliocolobus tephrosceles (Ugandan red Colobus), 1800 nucleotides long. RefSeq lists it as uncharacterized. The record is from RefSeq and is a predicted model, not a curated record. The transcript has 3 exons. NCBI's taxonomy places the organism in Eukaryota, Metazoa, Chordata, Mammalia, Primates, Cercopithecidae.
UGCAUGCUGCCAUUAGUCACCAGGUUGACCCGGAAUUCCUUGGUUUAGGUCUGGGCAGCGUCCUCCUGAACAGCCUGAAGCAGACGGUGGUGACCCUGGCCAGCAGCGCGGGCGUGCUGAGCACCGUGCAGUCGGCCGCCCAGUCCAUGCUGCAGAGCGGCUGGUCCGUGCUGCUGCCCAGCGCCGAGGAGCGGGCCCGGGCACUCUCUGUUCUCCUGCCCUGCGCAGUUUCAGGCAAUGACGUGAACGUAAGUCCAGGUCGUCGAUUCAUGAUUGAUCUUCUGGUGGGCAGCUUGAUGGCUGCUGGAGGGUUGGAGUCAGCCUUACACGCAGCCAUUACUGCAGAGAUCCAGGAUAUUUAAGUGAAAAAAGAAGCACAGAAGGAAAAAGAAAUUGAUGAACAGGAAGCAAAUGCCUCAGCAUUUCACAGAAGCAGGACUCCAUUGGAUAAAGACCUUAUUAAUACGGGGAUCUGUGAGUCUUCUGGCAAACAGUAUUUGCCUCUGGUUCAGCUCAUACAACAGCUUCUUAGGUAAAUCGUAUUAGCUGUAUUGUAUUGUAUUUUGUUUAUUUACUUUUUUGUUUUUUUUGAGACAGCAUUUCACUCUUGUUGCCCAGGCUGAGUGCAAUGGCACGAUCUUGGCUCACCGCAACCUCCGCUUCCCGAGUUCAAGUGAUUCUCCUGCCUCAGCCUCUCAAGCAGCUGGGAUUACAGGCGUGUGCCACCACACCCGGCUAAUUUUGUAUGUUUAGUAGAGACGGGGUUUCUUCAUGGUGGUCAGGCUGGUCUGGAACUCCCGACCUCAGGUGAUCUGCCCGCAUUGGCCUCCCAAAGUGUUGGGAUUACAGGCAUGAACCACCACGCCCGGCCUAUUUAUUUACUUAUUAAUUUUUUUUAAUUUUUGUUUUCUGAGAUGGGGUCUCACUCUAUCACCCAGGCUGGAGUGCAGUGUCAUGAUCUUGGCUCACUGCAACCUCUACCUCCUGGGUUCAAGCACUUCUCCUGCGUCAGCCUCCCAAGUAGCUGGGACUACAGGCGUCUGCAACCACACCUGGCUGAUGUUUGUAUUUGUAGCAGAGAUGGGGUUUCAAAAUAUUGGUCAGGCUGGUCUCAAACUCCUGACCUUAGGUGAUUCUCCUGCCUUGGCCUCUGAAAGUGUUGGGAUUACAGGUGUUAGCCACUGUGCCUGACCUGUAUUGUAUUUUAGUAGGUGAUUAUUGGUUUUCAUAUUAAGAUCGUGAAAUCUAUCACAAGGAUCUCAAAAAUUUGUUUGGUGAUGGAGGGAAUUUUCUGAAAAUUACCUAGUACAGGUGUUAGGAUAAAGAACAGACCCUUUUCAACAUAGGUGAGAGGAGAAGUUGGAGGGUAUGAUGAUACUCAAAAGUUUUUCACAGAAGAGAAAUUGGGGUGUGCAGUAAACAUGUGAAAAGAUUCCUAGUAAUAAGCAGGUGGAUGCAAAUGAAAUCAUCAUGGGAAGGUUAUUUUUAAAACUGGUUCUAUCAUUGCCUCACUUUAUAUAUUACAGAGUUAUACAUACUACUGUGUAAGAUAACUUUUCUUUUCAAAACUAAAGUCAAUGUGAAAGAAUGAUGAGCGUUGUUUUGUAAGGCCAGACUAGGAGGAGGUGGGAAGAAGUCAGACUCAGCCUGUGAACAGAGGCUAACCUUGGCAGAAGCCAAAAGGGUCAGACAGUGUUGUGUAAAAAUGAUCACUCGAGCGGAAAAGCAAGAUCAUUUGUGAAAGAGAUUUAUUAGAAAAUGAAACACAUUUGUACCUCUAUUUAAUAAAAAUCUGCUUUU